GGAGCCGACCUUGAAAUACCACCCUUUAAUGUUUGAUGUUCUAACGUGGACCCGUGAUCCGGGUUGCGGACAGUGUCUGGUGGGUAGUUUGACUGGGGCGGUCUCCUCCUAAAGAGUAACGGAGGAGCACGAAGGUUGGCUAAUCCUGGUCGGACAUCAGGAGGUUAGUGCAAUGGCAUAAGCCAGCUUGACUGCGAGCGUGACGGCGCGAGCAGGUGCGAAAGCAGGUCAUAGUGAUCCGGUGGUUCUGAAUGGAAGGGCCAUCGCUCAACGGAUAAAAGGUACUCCGGGGAUAACAGGCUGAUACCGCCCAAGAGUUCAUAUCGACGGCGGUGUUUGGCACCUCGAUGUCGGCUCAUCACAUCCUGGGGCUGAAGUAGGUCCCAAGGGUAUGGCUGUUCGCCAUUUAAAGUGGUACGCGAGCUGGGUUUAGAACGUCGUGAGACAGUUCGGUCCCUAUCUGCCGUGGGCGCUGGAGAACUGAGGGGGGCUGCUCCUAGUACGAGAGGACCGGAGUGGACGCAUCACUGGUGUUCGGGUUGUCAUGCCAAUGGCACUGCCCGGUAGCUAAAUGCGGAAGAGAUAAGUGCUGAAAGCAUCUAAGCACGAAACUUGCCCCGAGAUGAGUUCUCCCUGAGACUUUAAGUCUCCUGAAGGAACGUUGAAGACGACGACGUUGAUAGGCCGGGUGUGUAAGCGCAGCGAUGCGUUGAGCUAACCGGUACUAAUGAACCGUGAGGCUUAA
Molecule: ribosomal RNA, 745 nt
Filed under: Salmonella enterica
Lineage: Bacteria; Pseudomonadati; Pseudomonadota; Gammaproteobacteria; Enterobacterales; Enterobacteriaceae
Description: partial 23S ribosomal RNA
Rfam family: Bacterial large subunit ribosomal RNA
Source: RNAcentral